RNAcentral lists this transfer RNA (91 nucleotides) under Slackia exigua. Its description in RNAcentral is "tRNA-Leu(gag)". Lineage: Bacteria; Bacillati; Actinomycetota; Coriobacteriia; Eggerthellales; Eggerthellaceae. The record is from RNAcentral. RNAcentral also lists the same sequence under 1 other name.
UGCUGUGGGUGCCCUGACGCAGCGCCGCCUGCUGAGAGCGGACGACCUGAUGCAUCACCGGCACGUUCGGCUCGAUGCCGAACACAGCGGC